UGAGGAAUUUUGCACAAUGGGGGAAACCCUGAUGCAGCGACGCCGCGUGGGGGAUGAAGGAGCUUUGCUCUGUAAACCUCUGUCGGAUGGGAUGAAAAGUCGGCAAUGCCGACCGGGACCGUACCAUCGGAGGAAGGACCGGCUAACUACGUGCCAGCAGCCGCGGUAAUACGUAGGGUCCAAGCGUUGUCCGGAUUUACUGGGUGUAAAGGGUGCGCAGGCGGGCUUGCGCGUCGAAGGUUAAAUACCUCGGCUUAACCGAGGAGCUGCCUUCGAUACGGCAAGUCUUGAAUAUGAGAGAGGAUGAUAGAAUUCCUGGUGUAGCGGUGAAAUGCGUAGAUAUCAGGAGGAAUACCGGUGGCGAAGGCGGUCAUCUGGCUCAUUAUUGACGCUCAGGCACGAAAGCGUGGGGAGCGAACA
This 420-nucleotide ribosomal RNA is filed under the name uncultured prokaryote. Its description in RNAcentral is "bacterial SSU rRNA". It matches the Rfam family "Bacterial small subunit ribosomal RNA", at positions 355 to 774 of the family's 1533-position model. The record is from RNAcentral.